RNAcentral lists this ribosomal RNA (253 nucleotides) under uncultured bacterium. RNAcentral describes it as "partial 16S ribosomal RNA". It matches the Rfam family "Bacterial small subunit ribosomal RNA", at positions 524 to 776 of the family's 1533-position model. The record is from RNAcentral.
UACGUAGGGUGCAAGCGUUAAUCGGAAUUACUGGGCGUAAAGCGUGCGCAGGCGGUUUUGUAAGUCAGAUGUGAAAUCCCCGGGCUUAACCUGGGAACUGCGUUUGAAACUACAAGGCUAGAGUGUGGCAGAGGGGGGUGGAAUUCCACGUGUAGCAGUGAAAUGCGUAGAGAUGUGGAGGAACACCGAUGGCGAAGGCAGCCUCCUGGGCCAGCACUGACGCUCAUGCACGAAAGCGUGGGGAGCAAACAGG